This 644-nucleotide ribosomal RNA is filed under the name uncultured Bacteroidales bacterium. RNAcentral's name for it is "bacterial SSU rRNA". It matches the Rfam family "Bacterial small subunit ribosomal RNA", at positions 89 to 731 of the family's 1533-position model. Lineage: Bacteria; Pseudomonadati; Bacteroidota; Bacteroidia; Bacteroidales. The record is from RNAcentral.
UGGCGACCGGCGCACGGGUGAGUAACACGUAUCCAACCUGCCGUCUACUCUUGGACAGCCUUCUGAAAGGAAGAUUAAUACAAGAUGGCAUCAUGAGUCCGCAUGUUCACAUGAUUAAAGGUAUUCCGGUAGACGAUGGGGAUGCGUUCCAUUAGAUAGUAGGCGGGGUAACGGCCCACCUAGUCUUCGAUGGAUAGGGGUUCUGAGAGGAAGGUCCCCCACAUUGGAACUGAGACACGGUCCAAACUCCUACGGGAGGCAGCAGUGAGGAAUAUUGGUCAAUGGGCGCAGGCCUGAACCAGCCAAGUAGCGUGAAGGAUGACUGCCCUAUGGGUUGUAAACUUCUUUUAUAAAGGAAUAAAGUCGGGUAUGUAUACCCGUUUGCAUGUACUUUAUGAAUAAGGAUCGGCUAACUCCGUGCCAGCAGCCGCGGUAAUACGGAGGAUCCGAGCGUUAUCCGGAUUUAUUGGGUUUAAAGGGAGCGUAGAUGGAUGUUUAAGUCAGUUGUGAAAGUUUGCGGCUCAACCGUAAAAUUGCAGUUGAUACUGGAUAUCUUGAGUGCAGUUGAGGCAGGCGGAAUUCGUGGUGUAGCGGUGAAAUGCUUAGAUAUCACGAAGAACUCCGAUUGCGAAGGCAGCCUGCUA